CCUUCAGUACCUGCGGAUUUCGAAGGAGCGACGGUCCGAAAGCCUCGUGUCUUCGCGUCUAGGUUUUUACUGAUUUCCUUUCCGGUUUCGUUGCCGAUCUGUCCGAAUCGGUUCUCGGUUGUCUCUCCGUUGCCGAUUGACGUCCGAUCUGCAGCUUCCGUUUCGUGUUCUGUCUCAUAUACUUUUAGAUUGCAACUAGGUUCCUAGAUGAUCUGCUGUUGACCGGAGGGAAAAGGAAAAAAAAGAAGAAGGAAAAGUGGGGUCGGGCUAUUGGUUAGGUUCCUGUCGUAGAAUUGUGUGAUUUUUAUGAUUGGGUUUUGAAAGGGUGAUCCGUUCAAUUAUUUCAUUUUUGCUGUCGGUUUGGGGGAUCGUGGGUUAUUUUUUGUGUGUUGAGACGUCGGUGUGGGUUUUUGAUAAAGGGGGUUGUGGUUGCAAACAAUAUGGCAACAGGGAAAUCCCGUGUCUCUAGGAGAUUGGAUUGUUCCUCUUCCUCCAGAAGGGAUGGUCGCGAUUUGGUCCGCGCAACUUGUCGCAGCGAAUUUAGCCUGCACCGUGGCCAUGUGGCUAAGCGGAAUGAUGGGCGCAAGAUGGAGUCCAAGAAUCGAGAUAAGGAGCAUCAGCUUGUUGAGGUGCAGAGUGGUGCCAAAUUGUACCGAGAUGGUGUCCAGCCUCCCCCUGAGAAGAAGAGGAAGUUCUCCCCGAUUUUAUGGGACGUCAAGGACAGGGAAAUCAGGAUAUCGUCCAAGAACAGAGUGGUUUCAGCUAGCACUAUUUUAAGCCCUCCCAUGGCUCCAUCUACAAUGUCAUCGAAUGAUGAGUCAGGUGGCUGUGUUUUGAACUCCUCUAUCUCAUUGGAUCAGGUACAUGGAUCUGAUCUUCCUAUGGGUGAUCAAUCUAUAUCUAUGAAUGGGUCUGGAUGCAAGGCUCUGGCAUUGCAUCAGGAGCAAAGUGAGGGUGGUGAUCAAGAUGACAGUAUGGUCGAGGAUGGAGAAUUUGUUCAUGAGAGAAACAUCUCAAUGUCACGAUGGGCAUCCGAUAGUGAUUCACCGAGACUUAUCUGUGCAUCCGACGAUGAAGAAAUGACUCUGGAUAAUAGAGCAUUGGUCACAAAUAGGUCAAGUCCAGAGAGUGGGGAGUUUCUGCCAGGAGGCUCGGUUCAUCGGACCAGGUCCUCUGGAUCUGAUGAGAUUGGGCUGGCUGGUAGAGCAAGUGUAGGUGAAUCUGAAGAUGGUGGUGAAGCUGUCGUCAUGGAUGUUGACCACACUUAUCUUAGCAAUGCAGACAACAACCAGGAUGACACCGAUGAUGAGAGCAAUAGAGAGCAUCAAGUGUUUGAAGCGUCCUCGUUGCCUGCAAGACGAAGUAUAAACAUGCUUGAUUCUUGCAGAAGUGUCUUCGAAUAUGAAAGACUGAACAAGAUCAAUGAAGGCACUUAUGGUGUUGUCUACCGUGCAAGGGAUAAGAAAACGGGGGAAAUAGUGGCAUUGAAGAAGGUGAAGAUGAACAAACAGGACUCUGACGGCGGCUUUCCCCUAACAUCAUUGAGAGAGAUAAACAUUUUACUGUCUUUAAAUCACCCUUCUGUUGUAGGUGUUAAAGAAGUCGUUAUGGGUGAUGCUGAUAGUAUAUUUAUGGUCAUGGAGUACAUGGAACACGAUCUCAAGGGGCUGAUGGAAACAAGGAAGCGUCCUUUCAGUACAAGUGAAGUCAAAUGCCUGAUGCUUCAGCUAUUGGAGGGUGUCAAGUAUCUCCAUGAUAAUUGGGUGCUUCAUCGGGAUUUUAAGACAUCGAAUCUUCUUUUAAACAACAAGGGAGAGCUAAAAAUAUGUGACUUUGGGUUGUCAAGACAGUAUGGGAGCCCAUUGAAGCCAUAUACUCCUCUGGUUGUUACCAUGUGGUACAGGGCACCCGAACUUUUAUUGGGAGCAAAACAGUACUCAACAGCAAUUGAUAUGUGGUCAAUAGGGUGUAUUAUGGCUGAAAUGUUGGCCAGUGAACCGCUAUUCAAGGGAAAUAGUGAAGUCAAUCAGCUUGACAAGAUUUUCAGGACUCUUGGCACACCCAGUGAGAAAAUAUGGCCUGGAUUCUCUGAAUUGCCUGGUUCAAAAGCAAACUUUGUUAAACAACCGUAUAAUUUGUUGCGAAAGAAGUUUCCAGCUGCAUCUUUUACUGGAACUACUGUUCUUUCCGAAUCGGGGUUUGACUUGCUGAACAGGCUUCUGACAUAUGACCCAGAGAUGAGAAUAACAGCAGAUGAAGCCCUUGAACAUGAUUGGUUUUGUGAAGUUCCACUGCCUACUUCUAAGGAUUUCAUGCCGACAUUUCCCCCUCUGCAUACUGUUGUUAGAUGAUUGCCUGCGGCCAGAUUGGAUUUUUGGACGAAGAAUUUAACCUGCCAUUGCUCCCUGGAACAAUUUGAUUUGUUUGUGAUGGAUGUCUUUUUAAACCUCCUGCUUUGAUUUUUAGGCAUCCAGAAAGAUUAUCUCGCUGCAGGAAGAGUAACUGCAGGAAUGCAUAAUUGCAUUUUCUGUCCUUGGCAGGAACCUAGAGGAAUUGUUGAUGGUAGUAACAGUGGGAAACUGCUCCGGUCGAACAAUUUACUACUAUUACAUCUUCACACCUCCCUUGAGUUUGCAAGGGGGCUCUUUUUGUACUUAUGCUUCUAGAAGAUCCACUGGAUGGUGGCUUUGGGAGUGCAGGGAUUCUUCAAUUUAAUGCCUCUGAAAGAGUGGAAAGCUUAUUUUUGCGAUGUCUUCUUGUUAUACCGUUAGUUUCUUUUUGGGUGUGGUUUACAAUAUUCUUUUUAUUGCUGUGAUGAAGGUAGUCAAUUGGCCUGCAAUUGAUGGAGCAGUUUCAUCUUUGACAGCACUAGUUGGAUGGCGUGCUUCUUUUCUCAAACCUGCGUUUAUCAGGGGGUCUUAGUCUUUAAUUCUUUUGGCAAUGCUUGCUUCAAUAAGUUUAUGUGUUAGAAGAUGUUGUUUCUGCCGUAUGUCUUUGCUGCUACAAAAUUCUUUGAAUAGAUCUUUUAUUCAUCUGUCUGUAUUGUUCUACAAUGACAGCUGACUUUCGCUAGAUCAACCUUUCCAGAACAACAGCCAUACAGGAUCACCUCCAUGUGAAUAUUCCAAUUCACCUGUCUGUUCUGCUCCUCGGGAAUUUAUCAAUUUAGCACAAAAAGUUUUCUUGCAUAUGAUGAAUUCUCUUCAUGUUAAGUCUACUGGGUUGUAUUGACAGAUGUAUAUGUUUAAGAAGGGCAUCUUAUGGAGCUGGUGCUGCUGCCAUAGUGCGAGGCGAGUGCUUCAAUCUCAACUUCAUUUUUUUCUCAUUGGUCUCGUUACUUGUUUCCUAGCAAUGUUUGUGUCAUACUACUCACAACAGAUAACCAGGAGAGCUGUUAAAUUCCAUUACUAGUAGUUUUUCUGGUAAUUUUUCCCAGACCGAGAUCAAGGAGAGAUGUAAAUCGCAUGUUGUCGCCAAGCAGUGCAGAACUGAGGUAGACUUGCCUAAUAUGCUUUGUUGAAUUUGGUGAGUUAAGCGUGUUGGUGUCGGAUAGUUGAGGCUGUCUACGUGGUUUUGUAUCCGGAAGUAACAGUUAUGUCUAACCCGCAUUGCACGCUCAUUGCUUUUUCCUUGGAAAAUUUUUAGUUAAGGGUGAUAAUUGGUUGGCUGGAAAAGUGAAUUGGUAAUGUGAGUUGGA
Molecule: RNA transcript, 3697 nt
Organism: Syzygium oleosum
Lineage: Eukaryota; Viridiplantae; Streptophyta; Magnoliopsida; Myrtales; Myrtaceae
Gene name: cyclin-dependent kinase G-2
Exons: 6
Source: RefSeq, a predicted model, not a curated record